Molecule: long non-coding RNA, 337 nt
Filed under: Monodelphis domestica (gray short-tailed opossum)
Lineage: Eukaryota; Metazoa; Chordata; Mammalia; Didelphimorphia; Didelphidae
Description: lncRNA (ENSMODG00000049102.1)
Source: RNAcentral
AUCUUCAUCUAGUAAUUGUGAUCUAGCAGCAUUGGUGAACCUUUUAGAGAUUCUGUGCACAAACUACACCUUCAAGCUGCCUGUGAGCCCCCAGCAUUGCCCAAGACAACAGAAGGAGGAAGUGCACAUUGGGCAGCUGGGCAGAGGAGUGGAGCAUGCAAAAAAUGAGCAGCCCUCUCCAGCACCCCAGGGCAUGGGUACCACAUCUUUGCCAACACAGUCGUAUGGUAUCUCAGUAUUACAGGUCCAGCACUCUAUCCCCUGAACCACUUAGCUGGAUUCUAGAGAUGCCUUAUGAAGUUUUAAAGAGAUGAACUCAGGAGGUAGUAACAGAAAG